GACGAACGCUGGCGGCGUGCUUAACACAUGCAAGUCGAACGGAAAGGCCCUGCUUUUGUGGGGUGCUCGAGUGGCGAACGGGUGAGUAACACGUGAGUAACCUGCCCUUGACUUUGGGAUAACUUCAGGAAACUGGGGCUAAUACCGGAUAGGAGCUCCUGCUGCAUGGUGGGGGUUGGAAAGUUUCGGCGGUUGGGGAUGGACUCGCGGCUUAUCAGCUUGUUGGUGGGGUAGUGGCUUACCAAGGCUUUGACGGGUAGCCGGCCUGGGAGGGUGACCGGCCACAUUGGGACUGAGGUACGGCCCAGACUGCUACGGGAGGCAGCAGUGGGGAAUAUUGCACAAUGGGCGGAGGCCUGAUGCAGCAACGCCGCGUGCGGGAUGACGGCCUUCGGGUUGUAAACCGCUUUCGCCUGUGACGAAGCGUGAGUGACGGUAAUGGGUAAAGAAGCACCGGCUAACUACGUG
RNAcentral lists this ribosomal RNA (468 nucleotides) under uncultured bacterium. RNAcentral's name for it is "partial 16S ribosomal RNA". It matches the Rfam family "Bacterial small subunit ribosomal RNA", at positions 28 to 507 of the family's 1533-position model. The record is from RNAcentral.